Molecule: ribosomal RNA, 372 nt
Filed under: uncultured bacterium
Lineage: Bacteria
Description: bacterial SSU rRNA
Rfam family: Bacterial small subunit ribosomal RNA
Source: RNAcentral
AUACGGAAGGUCCGGGCGUUAUCCGGAUUUAUUGGGUUUAAAGGGAGCGUAGGCCGGGGAUUAAGUGUGUUGUGAAAUGUAGGCGCCCAACGUCUGACUUGCAGCGCAUACUGGUUCCCUUGAGUACGCGCAACGCCGGCGGAAUUCGUCGUGUAGCGGUGAAAUGCUUAGAUAUGACGAAGAACCCCGAUUGCGAAGGCAGCCGGCGGGAGCGCAACUGACGCUGAAGCUCGAAGGUGCGGGUAUCGAACAGGAUUAGAUACCCUGGUAGUCCGCACGGUAAACGAUGGAUGCCCGCUGCCGGCGCCUUGCGCCGGCGGCCAAGCGAAAGCGUUAAGCAUCCCACCUGGGGAGUACGCCGGCAACGGUGAA